CCUACGGGUGGCAGCAGUGAGGAAUAUUGGUCAAUGGGCGCGAGCCUGAACCAGCCAAGUCGCGUGAGGGAGGACGGCCCUACGGGUUGUAAACCUCUUUUGCCGGGGAGCAACGGGCGCCACGUGUGGCGUCACUGAGAGUACCCGGAGAAAAAGCAUCGGCUAACUCCGUGCCAGCAGCCGCGGUAAUACGGGGGAUGCAAGCGUUAUCCGGAUUUAUUGGGGUAAAGGGGUGCGUAGGCGGAUCGUUAAGUCAGUGGUCAAAUUGAGGGGCUCAACCCCUUCCCGCCAUUGAAACUGGCGUUCUUGAGUGGAAGAGAAGUAUGCGGAAUGCGUGGUGUAGCGGUGAAAUGCAUAGAUAUCACGCAGAACCCCGAUGGCGAAGGCAGCAUGCCGGCUUCCGACUGACGCUGAAGCACGAAAGCGUGGGGAUCGAACAGGAUUAGAUACCCUGGUAGUC
Molecule: ribosomal RNA, 460 nt
Filed under: uncultured bacterium
Lineage: Bacteria
Description: partial 16S ribosomal RNA
Rfam family: Bacterial small subunit ribosomal RNA
Source: RNAcentral